GCUGCAGGCUUGGCCCCUGGGGCAGCAGCAGGGGAUAGGCAGGGGGUCAACAACCCCCACCGACAUCCCCUGUGAUUCCAGGCUGGUUUCCUGAGCGGAAACUGAGAGAACUUGGCUUCCUCCUUUGUACAACGAAAGCCCCUUCCGGGGUGGGUGUGGGGAAGUAGAUGAGACUGGGCACCCAGCACCCCUGCUCUGGUCUUGGUCACACAGCAUGUCCCCCACCAUCCCCCCCAAGGAAAGUGUUGCUCUUUUCCAAGUCUCCUCCUCCAGUUCGUGCAUCCUCUCUGGUGCUCUGGCUUUCGUCCUCCCUUACGCACCAACCCUCUUCUCUGGUCAGCACCAUGGCUAUUUGUACUUCCAGCUGGUGGAGACGGAGACGGAAGGGCUCACCCUCCUUGGUCGUGAAUAAUUGAGAGACUGAUGAUGAUCAAAUUGCUUAAUGCAAACUCUACAAGCAAACACCCCAGGGGUGAGUACCUUACGGUCCUUAGAGACAUCACACCCAGGGCGGACAUUCACAAGACACACGUUUCCUCUUCUGCUACAUCCCAGCUUAGACCGGCCAUCCCCAAAGGGCUCCUGUCUGCUUCUGGUCCACGGAGGGGAAAGCAGGAAAUUUUUGUUGUAAGAUGGAGGACCUGGGAGGAAUAGGAAUAUUUCAU
Talpa occidentalis (Iberian mole) is the source of this 665-nucleotide long non-coding RNA. RefSeq lists it as uncharacterized. The transcript has 3 exons. The record is from RefSeq and is a predicted model, not a curated record. Lineage: Eukaryota; Metazoa; Chordata; Mammalia; Eulipotyphla; Talpidae.